GUCACUGUAGUGUAGUGGUUAUCACGUAUCCUUUACACGGAUAAGGUCUCCGGUUCGAUCCCGGACAGUGACA
This 73-nucleotide transfer RNA is filed under the name Spraguea lophii 42_110. It matches the Rfam family "tRNA". Rfam says of the family: Transfer RNA (tRNA) molecules are approximately 80 nucleotides in length. Lineage: Eukaryota; Fungi; Microsporidia; Spragueidae. The record is from Rfam by way of RNAcentral.